Molecule: ribosomal RNA, 345 nt
Filed under: Conraua robusta (Cameroon slippery frog)
Lineage: Eukaryota; Metazoa; Chordata; Amphibia; Anura; Petropedetidae
Description: mitochondrial SSU rRNA
Rfam family: Bacterial small subunit ribosomal RNA
Source: RNAcentral
CGCCAGGGAAUUACGAGCCCAAGCUUAAAACCCAAAGGACUUGACGGUGUCCCACCCAUCUAGAGGAGCCUGUUCUAUAAUCGAUACCCCCCGCUACACCUAACCAUUUCUAGCUAUUCAGCCUGUAUACCUCCGUCGUAAGCCUACCAUAUGAACGCCUUCAUAGUAAGCUCAAAGGUCACUCACCAACACGUCAGGUCAAGGUGCAGCCCAUGAAAUGGCAAGCAAUGGGCUACAGUUUCUAACUUAGAACAAACGAAAGACUACGUGAAAUAUAGUCAUGAAGGCGGAUUUAGUAGUAAAAAGAAAAUAAAGUGUUCUUUUUAACCCGGCCCUGGGACGUGU